Small nuclear RNA from Ailuropoda melanoleuca (giant panda), 107 nucleotides. Lineage: Eukaryota; Metazoa; Chordata; Mammalia; Carnivora; Ursidae. The record is from Ensembl.
GUGCUUGCUUUAGCAGCACAUAUCCUAAAAUUGGAAUGGUACAGAAAAGAUUAGCAUGGCUCCUGUGCAAGGUUAGCAUGCAAAGUCAUGAAGUGUUCUAUAUUAAA